UACGUAGGUCCCGAGCGUUGUCCGGAUUUAUUGGGCGUAAAGCGAGCGCAGGCGGUUUGAUAAGUCAGAAGUAAAAGGCUGUGGCUCAACCAUAGUACGCUUUUGAAACUGUCAAACUUGAGUGCAGAAGGGGGGAGUGGAAUUCCAUGUGUAGCGGUGAAAUGCGUAGAUAUAUGGAGGAACACCGGUGGCGAAAGCGGCUCUCUGGUCUGUAACUGACGCUGAGGUUCGAAAGCGUGGGUAGCAAACAGG
Molecule: ribosomal RNA, 252 nt
Filed under: uncultured bacterium
Lineage: Bacteria
Description: partial 16S ribosomal RNA
Rfam family: Bacterial small subunit ribosomal RNA
Source: RNAcentral